AGGGAGAGCUGGGCACCACGUGCACCCCAGGACAGGAGCCGUGUGUGGUUGGUGUAGGGGUAAAAAGAGAAAAAGGACUAGGAAGGAGGUGGGAUUCUGCAGCUGAGGUUUGUGCCCUCCGUGUGCUGGAGGUCAGGUUAACUGCUCACCAAAUAAAAGAACAAGGGAGAAAUUAACUCAUCAGGAGACAGAAGACAGGGUGCUGCACAGCAGGGAGGCGCAACUCAGCCGAAACCUUUAUUUGGAAUAACAAAAAAAAAAAAAGAAGCACACAAAUGAGUUCACAAAACCUUUUUUUUUAUUAUUAUUUGAAACUGGAAAAGGCUCCUGGGGUUAUAAUGGUUAGGUGUAAAAGUAACACACACGUUUUGCUCAGCUUUCUGAUAGCUGGGAUGAAGCAGGCCCAGCGUUGCAAAGUCCCGUCUGGCUUUCGUACAGCCCCGUUCCUCUCACACCCACAAACAACAAAAAAAAAAAAAAGGGCAGGCAGAGCCCCAGCCCUCCGCUGGGGGAACAAGCAGGGCAGGCGAGCUAUUUAAACUCCUCUUAUCGUGUUCCACACAGAGGGCUGGGGCACGAAAGUGGAGGUGUUGGAUGUCAAAUGGCAUUUGGGAAAGAAAAGCUCACCUUCUCCCCCUGCACCGCCCUCUGUGCGAGGCAGGGCUCUGCUCUUUCCUCCUCCUUUUUAAUAAAUAACAGCCACUUCGGAGAGACUUGUUUGCACGCCGAGCCUGCUGGAGGUGCCCAGAUUAGUCCCUUGGUGUCACGUUGAAGCGCUGAGUGCAAAUACACACCACCAGGGCACGCCUGCUCAGAGGAAGGAGCAGCAUUAGUCCACGGAAAAAAAAGUGCAGCUUGCUUUAAUUGAGCUAGGGAACGCAGCUGAUCCGAGUGCUCUUCUCCUUGAAAAAUCAAAAAGGCUGCAAUCCAAGCGAAAACCGGAGUCCUACAUUUUAAUUCAGCACAGAAAAGGUCAGUGGCACUCACGUGGUGGUGGCUUAUCUCCCCCUGCACAGCCUGACCACGCACCUUGACCACGUCCGUGUCCCAGCAGGGCAUCCUCGGGCAGCUGAACGCAGCAGCAGCUUGCUGGCCACCCGAGCAAGCAGCCAUGAGACAGUCCAUACAUCAUCACCCCCUAAAUUAGCAAGCUGAGGUUAUACCACCCAUUUCCACACAACACCCAACACUCCCAUGAAGUCCCACUCAUUUUUUAUUAAUAAAAAGCAAUAAAAAGCCGUCCUUCUCUGAAAGCAAACACUGAGCUGCCUGCCUUUUUUUUUUUCUCUCCUAUAUUUUACACCUCCUAGCAAGCUUCCACAUGGAUUUGCUUUCUCCCCAGCACAAGUUUCCUACUUCAUUGCCAUCUCAGUGGCUGCUGUGGAGGCUGGUAGCCAAAGCUGAAGUAAUUCUGUCCAUCCUCCUCCAUCCAAACAAACACCUGGCGAGCCCGUGCAGACUGAAAUAGGUCUCCUGCAACCACAGCGCUCGAUCACGGCGUAUUUAUAGCUCUGAAAUCAGCCCCAGCACAAACAAACUGGGUGGAUCUUUGAUGCUUCUGUUUCCCAGCUGGCCAAACCCCCGUGUUUUGGCAACAGAGCACGCGCAGCUCGAGCACGUCAGUCACUUGCUUAAUGCUCCUAAAUUAGAAUUAAGCCCUAGGUCCUGCUGUGGUUAUUUGGGCAAGGCUGCUCUGCAACCUAAUUGGAAAGGCUUUUCUUCCCAAAUCCUUCCACCAAGAGGUUUCUUAACCCCGACAAGGUGAGUCCCACCUUCCCCAGCAUCUGGAAUCAAGAUUUAAGGACAAUUGUCUCCAAGUUUUUCUAUAGAAGGGCACAGCAGCAGCAGAAAUUGCUGCUAGAAUUGCUCGGCUGGCAGCAUCCACCACGAACCUGGGCACACUGCUAAUCCUGCCCAUUUUAACAAUUCACCCGCAGAUGCCAAAAUUUUGCUCCUCCUGCUCGUUCCCCUCUCCCAGAGCUGAAGUCAGGACUCCCCGUGGCCUCAUUCUGCUUUUCUGACACAAACAGAUCCAAAGGACCCAUCGGAGGCGCAGGAGCACACAAUAUUUAUGCCAGUCUCUCCAGAUUCACCAUCCUGCCAGCUUUCCUCGCUCAAAGCGGAGAAAAUCCGGCUCCUGAAAUACCCCCCACAAAAGCCUGCAAGGCUUUGAGGAGUAGAAGAGGGGAAGGGAAAGGAACGGAGAAGCAUUAAUACCAAAUUUGCUCUUUUCAUCUGCCUUUGCUCUAGACAGAAUAAAGCCAGCGUGUACUAGCAGCUCUGCCUCUAAUCAGGGCUGGCACACUGACAUUUUGAGGCCAGGCGGCGCACCACAAAGGUGCUCCUACAAAGGCAGAGCUGACGUCUGAGCGGCUCCCGCAGCACUCCCUGCCUCUGCAAAGCCUCCUCCCCGGGGCAGACAAGCAGGUCUGGCCUCCAGAAGGCAGAUCCUGACCUCUGCCAGCAAACAGGUCCAGGAGUGACGAGCUGGAAGCAGAGCAGAGGCACAAGGCGUGCAGAGAGCAGCCCGACAGGUCCUCCCCCUGCACAGACCUGAGCAAAGCACUCCUGCCAUCUGCUGCCUGAGGGCUCGCACCCUCAGCAGGCUCCUGAUAGAUAGGAAAGGUGAGCUGCGACUUCACGAAGCGUUUGAUGGCACGGCGGGGAAUCACACCUACACCUCUGCACGCUCAGCAAACCCGACACAGCAAGCUCAGGGAGGAGAGCAACAAAAACGGCUGGACUUACAGGGCUGGGACUCGGGGCUCCGGCCAAGCGCCUGUAGCGCAUCAGGACAGGCUGGGUUUUUAAGCUGAGAAAGCCAAAACCUUGAUUAUUAAGUCAGUCGUGUAAAAUUUCAUUUUCAUCUUUAUGUUUUUCAGGUGAGCGGGGAUGUUGAAGGAAGGAGGAACCCACAAAUCAGGACCAUAGAUAAAAUAGCAAUGGGAGCAGAGAUAGUCUUAGGACAAGGGAUUAAAACAGCUGCCCAAAGGACCUCUCUCAUCACCUGAGGCUCUCUUAGGAGAGCCCAAAACAGCUUUCUCACUGGCUGCACCAGCCUGGCACCGAGCUCCAAGAUAAAUCAGCCACCCGGGUGCUAAACAGGCUCCUAAUGUCUUCAGGUAUCCCUGAUUUGCAUAACGAAGCUGGAAACUUGUGUCUGUGGCAUUAAGCACGUGCUUUUCUCCCUUACACAGCUCAUCAGCCAGAGCAAGGGGCUCAGGUGCC
This 3228-nucleotide long non-coding RNA is filed under the name Anas zonorhyncha (Eastern spot-billed duck). RNAcentral describes it as "lncRNA (ENSAZOG00000003284.1)". The record is from RNAcentral. Lineage: Eukaryota; Metazoa; Chordata; Aves; Anseriformes; Anatidae.